RNAcentral lists this ribosomal RNA (250 nucleotides) under uncultured bacterium. Its description in RNAcentral is "partial 16S ribosomal RNA". It matches the Rfam family "Bacterial small subunit ribosomal RNA", at positions 83 to 334 of the family's 1533-position model. The record is from RNAcentral.
CGAAGAUGGCGACCGGCGCACGGGUGAGUAACACGUAUCCAACCUGCCGAUAACUCGGGGAUAGCCCUUCGAAAGAAAGAUUAAUACCCGAUGGUAUAAUCAGACCGCAUGGUUUGAUUAUUAAAGAAUUUCGGUUAUCGAUGGGGAUGCGUUCCAUUAGGCAGUUGGUGAGGUAACGGCUCACCAAACCUUCGAUGGAUAGGGGUUCUGAGAGGAAGGUCCCCCACAUUGGAACUGAGACACGGUCCAA